GCUUAGUAAGUCCUGAAUUGAACAGCUACACAUCAAGUCUUAUGGUCACUUUGAAGAGAAUAAAGCCAGAGGGAUUCCUGGUGUGUCUCCGUUCUUCCCUGCCAGGGAGUUAGUGGUUCUGAGUUGGCUACGGUGAGUGUGCAACUCACCAAACAUCCCUCUUCCUCCUUCCUUUCACUCCCUUCUCAGAGCAUGAUGGAAGCCUGUGUUUUCAUUUCAGACUGAUGGGUUUCUGAAGGACAACAACAAUGCUGCCCAGCGCCUGUUGGACGGGAUGAACUUCAUGGCUCAGUCGGUGUCCGAGCUUAGCCUUGGACCCACCAAGGCUGUGACUUCCUGGCUGACAGACCAGAUCGCCCCUGCCUACUGGAGGCCCAACUCCCAGAUUCUGAGCUGCAACAAGUGUGCGACGUCCUUUAAAGAUAACGACACUAAGCAUCACUGCCGAGCCUGUGGGGAGGGCUUCUGUGACAGCUGUUCAUCAAAGACUCGGCCAGUGCCUGAGCGGGGCUGGGGCCCUGCGCCGGUGCGGGUGUGUGACAACUGCUACGAAGCCAGGAACGUCCAGUUAGCUGUUACCGAGGCACAAGUGGACGAUGAAGGUGGAACACUCAUUGCUCGGAAGGUGGGCGAGGCUGUGCAGAACACUCUGGGAGCCGUGGUGACAGCCAUUGACAUACCACUAGGUCUGGUAAAGGACGCGGCCAGGCCUGCGUACUGGGUGCCUGACCACGAAAUCCUCCACUGCCACAACUGCCGGAAGGAGUUCAGCAUCAAGCUCUCCAAGCACCACUGCCGGGCCUGCGGACAGGGCUUCUGUGAUGAGUGCUCCCAUGACCGCCGGGCUGUCCCUUCUCGUGGCUGGGACCAU
This 871-nucleotide small RNA is filed under the name Pan troglodytes (chimpanzee). Its description in RNAcentral is "retained intron". The record is from RNAcentral. Lineage: Eukaryota; Metazoa; Chordata; Mammalia; Primates; Hominidae.